GACGAACGCUGGCGGCGUGCUUAACACAUGCAAGUCGAACGGAAAGGCCCUGCUUUUGUGGGGUGCUCGAGUGGCGAACGGGUGAGUAACACGUGAGUAACCUGCCCUUGACUUUGGGAUAACUUCAGGAAACUGGGGCUAAUACCGGAUAGGAGCUCCUGCUGCAUGGUGGGGGUUGGAAAGUUUCGGCGGUUGGGGAUGGACUCGCGGCUUAUCAGCUUGUUGGUGGGGUAGUGGCUUACCAAGGCUUUGACGGGUAGCCGGCCUGAGAGGGUGACCGGCCACAUUGGGACUGAGAUACCGCCCAGACUCCUACGGGAGGCAGCAGUGGGGAAUAUUGCACAAUGGGCGGAAGCCUGAUGCAGCAACGCCGCGUGCGGGAUGACGGCCUUCGGGUUGUAAACCGCUUUCGCCUGUGACGAAGCGUGAGUGACGGUAAUGGGUAAAGGAGCACCGGCUAACUACGUG
Molecule: ribosomal RNA, 468 nt
Filed under: uncultured bacterium
Lineage: Bacteria
Description: partial 16S ribosomal RNA
Rfam family: Bacterial small subunit ribosomal RNA
Source: RNAcentral